RNAcentral lists this long non-coding RNA (2002 nucleotides) under Nicotiana benthamiana. Its description in RNAcentral is "long non-coding RNA (NBEN_LNC009375)". Lineage: Eukaryota; Viridiplantae; Streptophyta; Magnoliopsida; Solanales; Solanaceae. The record is from RNAcentral.
AAAGAUGCUAGGUGGUUUCUUCACAUUUGCCAGUUGGUGGACAAAGUUACUCAGUACUUGUGCUAGUGGGAGGUAACAAGUAACCUGAACGAAUAGUUGAGUUGUGUUCAAGAUGGCUCGGACACCACCGUCAUUAAAAGAGUUGUUUGUCUAAGCUGUAUAAUUGUAAUUGUAAAAUAUAUAAAAUUAGCGAAAUCAGAGAAGUAUAGCCAAUCCUAAGCCUAGAUAAUAGAGGAGGAUUUAGUUGGACGUAAAAUAGUCUAAUGAUGAUAAAUCCUCUUAAUACGGAAUUCCUACACCUGCUUGUGCUGUAUAGAGGAAAGUGAGGAUUCAUAUAGCUAAUCCCAACUAGUUUUGGAUUGAGAUGCAGAAGCUGAUAUGAUAAGAGGAAAUGGAGAAGUCAAUGGUUGUAGUAUUUCUUCUAGUGUUACCCUUUGCUUGCUAUUAGUAAGCUUCUGUGACUGUGAACCACAGAGUUAUCUUAGUAUGUUAUAUCUGCAUGACUAGCACGGCAACAUAUGUUUGUGCAUUAAUUUUUUGUUUACAUUGAAAUUACUAAAUAAAAUAGAGAUUAGCUGUGGGACAAUCUAUUUGCUAUUGGUUAUUCAAUGUCUCUUCUUUAUUGAGUACAGCUCUUUCUCUAUAAAUAUUGCUGGAGUAUCUAAUGUGAACCAUUCUACCAUACGUAUGAAAACCCCUUCGUGAAACAAAUUAGGAGAAAAUAAAAUAGGGAAUUUAGAGAACUAAGGAGACCACUUUGGGCUUAUGGGUGAUUUUGACUUCGAGGAAAACUCAAUAAAAACCUGGUUAAAUACUUCAAUGACCUUGAUAAUUCAUUACCAACCUGGAUAAACCACCCCCUUUCCUUUAGUUUAUGUUGUUAUGACUAAAAUAAAUAUUGGAGCUUCCAGAAUAUCGGUAAAGGAAGGAAGGUAGCAUGGAGAACUGCACCAUUGUGCAUCUUUUGGCUAAUUUUGAAUGGAAGAAAUAGGAGAAUAUUCCAGAUGCUGAAUAUUUUUAAAUUGCAUCAAUUUCUUUUUCCAAUUUCAUGUAUUAUUUUGGUGUAAAGAAGAGAUACCUACACGUCCAGAUCAUUGAGAUAGUAGAUGACUGUGGGUAAAUUUAUGUAUCGAUUUUUAAUACCUAUAUGGUGUGAUAUUAGUGGAUCUUAUUUUUUUUAUCCCCAAAAGAGAAAAAAGCAAAAAUUGAAAAGCAUAGGUACUAGAUACAUCACUCCAUAAGGGAGCAUGACCGUAACUCUGAGCUGUUCACCUCAUGAGUGAAGAUAGGAAAUCUCUGGGCUAUUCCAACUCUCUGAGCAAAAGUUGAAAUCAAUAGUGUGUUUGAUGCUUAUAAUGUUUUUAUUUAAUCCUUCCCAAAAAAGAAAUACUUUAAGCAACAAACACCUAAUGCUUAUAUCUACUAUACGCUUGUCCCAGCAUGCUUUUCAAGCACAAUAUUUUAAUCAAGACGUUAUACAUCUCCUGCUUUACGAAUAAUCAAAAAAAUACAUCUCUUCCUUUAUGCUAGUUAUGAGAAAUUGGGCUAUAAGUAGGGUUAUAAACCUUAAAAGGUCUUGAACUCUUUUUGCUCCUAACUGCACUAUCCACACAAUAAUUUCUAUAAUUUGUUGAAAGUACAAGAGAAUUGUGGAUUUUAUCAUUUUUUUAAAUGGAGAAUUGGGGAUAUGAUCAUUAGGAGUGGUAAUAUAGGAUUGCCCUAAAAUUCUGCUAAAUUAUUCUUAAUCCUUACUAAACCCAAGAAUAAUUAUGCUCGAAGCUAGGAAAACUCAUGAUGUAACUCAACCGAAUCUCACUUAGAGGAAAAAAAUCUUACUUUAGAGUCUUGAAGAAUCUUGAUCUUGAUUUUUCACUCUAAUUUUCUUUUCCUUCUUUCCAUGACUGCUAAGAGCUGUCAAAAAUCUCUAAUACACAUUAGGGUUGAAGCUUAUAUAGUUACAGUACAAAAACACAAUAAAAUCUUGAAAUAUCGCACCGGCACA